UACGGAGGGCGCGAGCGUUAAUCGGAAUUACUGGGCGUAAAGCGCGCGUAGGCUGUUGUGUAAGUUGGGGGUGAAAUCCCACAGCUCAACCGUGGAACAGCCCUUGAUACUGCGCGACUUGAAUCCGGGAGAGGGUGGCGGAAUUCCAGGUGUAGGAGUGAAACCCGUAGAUAUCUGGAGGAACAUCAGUGGCGAAGGCGGCCACCUGGACCGGUAUUGACGCUGAGGCGCGAAAGCGUGGGGAGCAAACAGG
Molecule: ribosomal RNA, 253 nt
Filed under: uncultured bacterium
Lineage: Bacteria
Description: partial 16S ribosomal RNA
Rfam family: Bacterial small subunit ribosomal RNA
Source: RNAcentral